This 63-nucleotide transfer RNA is filed under the name Branchinecta paludosa. RNAcentral's name for it is "tRNA-Asn". The record is from RNAcentral. Lineage: Eukaryota; Metazoa; Arthropoda; Branchiopoda; Anostraca; Branchinectidae.
UUAGUAGAAGCUAUCUAGCAGUCCACUGUUACUGGAAAGAAAGGAAGGACUUUCCCUACUAAA